GACGAACGCUGGCGGCGUGCUUAACACAUGCAAGUCGAACGGAAAGGCCCUGCUUUUGUGGGGUGCUCGAGUGGCGAACGGGUGAGUAACACGUGAGUAACCUGCCCUUGACUUUGUGAUAACUUCAGGAAACUGGGGUUAAUACCGGAUAGGAGCUCCUGCUGCAUGGUGGGGGUUGGAAAGUUUCGGCGGUUGGGGAUGGACUCGCGGCUUAUCAGCUUGUUGGUGGGGUAGUGGCUUACCAAGGCUUUGACGGGUAGCCGGCCUGAGAGGGUGACCGGCCCCAUUGGGACUGAGUGCCGCCCCAGCCCCCGCCGGGCGGCGGAGGGGGGAAUUUUGGCCCAGGGGGCGGAAGCUGUAUGCAGCACCGCCGCGUGGGGGAGCGCGGCCUUCGGUUUGAAACCCGUUUUCCCCGGUAACGAAGGGUGAGGGCGGUUAGGGGAUAAAAAGCCCCCGGCUAACUCCUUC
RNAcentral lists this ribosomal RNA (468 nucleotides) under uncultured bacterium. RNAcentral's name for it is "partial 16S ribosomal RNA". It matches the Rfam family "Bacterial small subunit ribosomal RNA", at positions 28 to 507 of the family's 1533-position model. The record is from RNAcentral.